GUCCUUAGCUGCUCAGGUUUGCAACCUCAGCAUCACUCUCAAUCUUCCUUUUCCUGUACUCUUUUUGUCUAGUCAGUUGCCAACUCUAGGUGAUUCUCCUUUCAUAACAUUUUUUACAUUUCAUAUUUCUGCUCACACAAAGCUAGAGUCCUAAUUUAGGGCCUCAUCACAUUUUUCCUCCUAACUUAUAUCCUUGCCUCAAUUCUCUUUUCCUAUUCAGUUUCACUUAGCUGAAAAAAUGAAAUUCUUCAAGCCCUCUAAGGAUGUUAGGCAACUUUCUAAUAUCAUAAGUAGUAGGGGAGGUGUUAACCUUCCUUCUCAGAGGGAGUUUCCUCAUCCAGGAAUUUCAGACAUGGGGAAACUUUUAUCAAUUCAAUCACCAUGUAUUAUCCUAGAGAACUAAAGAUGGAACAUUAUACUAACAUCAUGAUACAGAAGUGUUUGAUGCAGGGUGAUAACUGAAAAUAUUUUCAUUGAAACUUAUGACAGUUUUAGUUCUAGAUGAUAGUUACUUUCAAGAAUACUCUGAAAUCAUUGAUGUUGAAUUUAGGGAGCUAACAGUGUCCAGCCAUAUUCAAUUUUAAUAUGUAUAUUUGAUUUUGAAACUAAAUCAUGGUAACUGGAAACAAAGUAGGGGUUCAUAGAUUAGAGAAUGACUCAAAAUUAUGAUACAUUAAUAUAAUGGAAUAUUGUCAGGUCAUAAUAAGUAAUGUAUAAGAAAGAAAAAGAAAAUUAUACAAGAAAACUUAUAUGCACUGAUUCAAAGUGAAGUAAAUAGAAGAAAGGAAGCAAUAUUCAAAAUGGAUACAAUAACAUAAAAACAAUAACAACAAAAAGAAAUUAAAUACUGUCUAAUUGUAAUGAAGAGGCUUGGCCUCAUGUAAGACAUGAGAUGAGAAAACAUAUUGCCUUCCCUUUAUUGGAGAAGAGAGGAUCGAUGAGUACAUUAUGUUUUAUAAACAUUUUUAACACAUUGUCAUUAUUGUGGAAGACUUCUUUCUUUUUUUCCUUUCUUUUAAAAAUAUUUGACUAAAAAGGAUUGCUCUCUGAGUAAGAGAUAGGAGAGAGAUAUAGAUGAAAAUGAAGAUGAUAUAAAUAUAAAAUAAUAAAAUAAAAUAAAUGCAGAUCUAAAUUUAAAAAUAAAUAUAUUUAUGUGUAUUUAUAUAUAAACAUAAGAUAAAUAAAGCUACCAUAAAGAGUAAAAGAAUCAAUAUUAUUAAAAUAUAAAAUAAAAAUAAAAACUACCAUUUGGUCCAGAGAAUACAGAUUUUAAAGGCACUAGAAAAUCCAUGAAAAGAACCACUUGCACUAAAAAUAAAAAAAUAAAACCUAUGUUGCUCUACUGAUUUAUCACAAGGGUGCUAUUGGGUUGAAUUCUUCUUGUUGUUGAAAGUUAAGGGAAAGUUUAGAUUAACUUAAUGAGCAACCUGGAAUACAGAGAACUCAUGAUGAUAUAUGCCAACCAUCUCUUGCCAAAGAGAUGGUGUAGAAUGAGACAGUUUUUUAAAAAAGACAUUGACUAUGUUAGAAUUAGUUUUAUUUGAUUAUAUAUAUUUUUAAAAAACAUUUUGUUUCUGAUUUUCUUUUUUCUAAUGGGAUAGAAGUAGGAAAGAAAAAUAGAUUAUUUUCUAUGAAAAAUAAAUAAAAUGAAGUUUAGAAAAUUAAAUGAAGUUUCAUUAGAUAAAAAAGAAAUAUGUGAAGUGUCCAAGAGAACAGUGAUAGAAAAAUCUAUAAAGUAGUAAAUUGGACUACACUAACCGUGAUACCUAAGGAUCUCCAAGACAUGAUUUUUGAAUUUUAGACACUUCUCUUCCUUUCCUUUUCUAUCCAUAAUAAAUUCAUGGAGGAGCAGUAAUAGCCUUUAAAGUACUGUAAUGAAUGAUUUUUUUAUAAAUGCCAUGACUUAACUUAUGUACAGACAAUUCUUGCUUCAUUUAAAUUCCCAUUAGGCAAAUUUAAAUUUACAUAAAGAAAUUCUAAAAGAAAUCUACCUUCUAAAAAUAUCUGUUAACUUUACUAUUCAGUACUAUGCUCUCUCUCUGUGCCCGUUUCUUGGUUGGACUCUCUAGCAUCCUAUUUCCCCCAUGUCCCACCCCCUUGCUCCCUAAAAAGUCAUUUAAAAAUCCCUCCAGGUGGUGGCCUUUUUUCCUGUGGUUUCUGGCCUCCAUGUACCUACCCAUCCCCAUGGCUCUGUUAUAAGGAGGUAAGUGACUGCUCCUGUGAAUUGUUCUGCACUUCCUCCUCAUUGACUUUAUACCAUGCUGGCCUCCAAAGCACCCUUCAGUCUGGUACUGCUCCUACUAAGGCAGUCUGUACAGUGCUGAGCCACAGUUUCUCAGCAGCCACUAGUAUAUUGCACAGUUUGAAGCUGGACUUAAUGAGUUUCUCCUGCCCACAAUGUUUGCCUUUUGUCUCACUUUAGCUCACUAUAAAGCCUUCACUUGGGUAUCCUGCUGUCAUGCAGUCUAGCGACGUCAGCAGAGCUGGAUUGUAGUAAGCAUAUGUCUACAUUGCUCUAUUGGUUUCCUCCACCUUUGUCAUGCUGAGUUAUAAACUUGCAAUUGAGUUCAGGGACACUCUAGUCACUGAAGGUCAAGUGAGGUUGGGAGAUAAAUCUGCAUAGGGUCCAAAUCUUAGAUUUGUAGAAAUGGUUGUAUUUGGAGAUUGAAUGCUUAGCUUGAUAAUUUUGAGACUGUACCAAUCACUGGGUUUAAUGAAGAAACAGGUUCAAAAGACAGAUUUUGUGAGCCUGGUUUUCAUCAUUGAGGUUGAGACGACUAUACUGAAAUGUAGGAAUACAUUCACACUAUCUAAUUUAUCAUUUGUAUAAAUAAGUUUUGAGUAUGUGUUACAUGACUUGAGUUAUACUGGGAUAGAUGAUACAAAAGUCAGUCUUCUGAAGACCCAAAGUACAAAAGAAAAAAAAAAAUCUCAGACUAUAAGGUAGAAUACAAAUUGGUAGCAUAAUGUGAUUAAGAAGUCAAGUAUGUUGAUUGACAUAGUUGAAAUGGAUCUCUUUUUUAAAAUUUUUUAAAUUUUUUUUUUUAUUUAAUAGCCUUUUAUUUACACGUUAUAUGCAUGGGUAACUUUACAGCAUUGCCAAUUGCCAAACCUCUUGUUCCAAUUUUUCACCUCUUACCCCCCACCCCCUCCCCCAGAUGGCAGAAUGACCAGUAGAUGUUAAAUAUAUUAAAAUAUAAAUUAGAUACACAAUAAGUAUACAUGACCAAACUGUUAUUUUGCUGUACAAAAAGAAUCAGACUCUGAAAUAUUGUACAAUUAGCUUGUGAAGGAAAUCAAAAAAUGCAGGUGGGCAUAAAUAUAGGGAUUGGGAAUUCAAUGUAAUGUGUUUUAGUCAUCACCCAGAGUUCUUUCUCAGGGCGUAGCUGGGUCAGUUCAUUACUGCUCCAUUGGAAAUGAUUUGGUUGAUCUCAUUGCUGAGGAUGGCCAGGUCCAUCAGAACUGGUCAUCAUAUAGUAUUGUUGUUGAAGUAUAUAAUGAUCUCCUGGUCCUGCUCAUUUCACUCAGCAUCAGUUCUUGUAAGUCUCUCCAGGCCUUUCUGAAAUCAACCUGUUGGUCAUUUCUUACAGAACAAUAAUAUUCCAUAAUAUUCAUAUACCACAAUUUAUUCAGCCAAUCUCCAACUGAUGGGCAUCCACUCAGUUUCCAGUUUCUAGCCACUACAAAGAGGGCUGCCACAAACAUUCGUGCACAUAUAAGUCCCUUUCCCUUCUUUAUGAUCUCUUUGGGAUAUAAGCCCAGUAGAAACACUGCUGGAUCAAAGGGUAUGCACAGUUUGAUAACUUUUUGAGCAUAGUUCCAAAUUGCUCUCCAGAAUGGUUGCAUUCAUUCACAACUCCACCAACAAUGCAUCAAUGUCCCAGUUUUCCUGCAUCCCCUCCAACAAUCAUCAUUAUUUUUUCCUGUCAUCUUAGCCAAUCUGACAGGUAUGUAGUGGUAUCUUAGAGUUGUCUUAAUUUGCAUUUCUCUAUUAAUAAUGACUUGAAGCAUCUUUUCAUAUGACUAGAAAUAGUUUCAAUUUCUUCAUCUGAGAAUUGUCUGUUCAUAUCCUUUGACCAUUUUUCAAUUGGAGAAUGGCUUGAUUUUUUAUAAAUUAGAGUUAAUUCUCUAUAUAUUUUGGAAAUGAGGCCUUUAUCAGAACGUUUGACUGUAAAAAUAUUUUCCCAGUUUAUUGCUUCCCUUCUAAUCUUUUCUGCAUUAGUUUUGUUUGCACAAAAACUUUUUAGUUUGGUAUAGUCGAUAUUUUCUAUUUUGUGAUCAGUAAUGAUCUCUAGGUCUUCUUUGGUCAUAAAGUCCUUCCCCUUCCACAGGUCUGAGAGGUAAACUAUCCUGUGUUCCUCUAAUUUAUUAAUAAUUUCAUUCUUUAUGCCUAGGUCAUGAACCCAUUUUGACCUUAUCCUGGUGUAUGGUGUUAAGUGCGGAUCAAUGCCUAGUUUCUGCCAUAUUAGUUUCCAAUUUUCCCAGCAAUUUUUAUCAAACAGUAAGUUCUUAUCCCAAAAGCUGGGGUCUUUAGGUUUGUCAAAGACUAGGUUGCUAUACCUGUUGACUGUUUUGUCCCUUGAACCUAACCUAUUCCACUGAUCAACUAAUCUAUUCCUUAGCCAAUACCAAAUGGUUUUGGUAACUGCUGCUCUAUAAUAUAAUUUUAGAUCUGGUACAGCUAAGCCACCUUCAUUUGAAUUUUUUUUUUCAUUAAUUCCCUUGAAAUUCUUGACCUUUUGUUUUUUCAUAUGAAUUUUGUUGUUAUUUUUUCUAGGUCAUUAAAAUAGUUUUUUGGGAGACUGAUUGGUAUAGCGCUAAAUAAAUAGAUUAGUUUAGGUAAUAUUGUCAUCUUUAUUAUAUUUGCUCGCCCUAUCCAAGAGCAUUUAAUAUUUUUCCAAUUGGUUAGAUCAGACUUAAUUUGUGUGAAAAGUAGUCUGUAAUUUUGCUCAUAAGGUUUCUGAUUUUCCCUUGGCAGAUAGAUUCCUAAAUAUUUUAUAUUAUCAGUAGUUACUUUAAAUGGAAUUUCUUUUUGUAACUCUGACUGUUGGAUUUUGUUAGUGAUAUAUAAGAAUGCUGAUGACUUAUGUGGAUUUAUUUUAUAACCAGAAACUUUGCUAAAGUUGUGGAUUAUUUCUAAUAACUUUUUAGUAGAAUCUCUGGGGUUCUCCAAGUAUACCCCAUAUCAUCAGCAAAGAGUGAUAAUUUGGUUUCCUCAUUGCCUAUUCUUAUUCCUUUAAUCUCUUUCUCAGCUCUUAUUGGCAAAGCUAGCAUUUCUAAUACAAUAUUAAAUAGUAAUGGUGAUAGUGGGCAACCUUGUUUCACUCCAGAUCUUAUUGGGAAUGGUUGCAGUUUGUCUCCAUUCCAUAUGAUGCUUACUGAUGGUUUUAAAUAGAUGCUGCUGAUUAUUUUGAGGACAAGUCCAUUUAUUCCUAUACUCUCAAGUGUUUUUAAUAGGAAUGGAUGUUGAAUUUUGUCAAAUGCUUUUUCUGCAUCUAUUGAGAUGAUCAUAUGGUUUUUGUUAAUUUAGUUAUUAAUAUGGCCAAUUAUAUUGAUAGUUUUCCUAAUAUUGAACCAGCCCUGCAUUCCUGGUAUAAAUCCUACUUAAUCAUAGUGUAUUAUCCUGGGGAUAAUUUUCUGUAGUCUUUUUGCUAAUGUCUUAUUUAAGAUUUUAGCAUCAAUAUUCAUUAGGGAGAUUGGUCUAUAAUUUUCUUUCUCUGUUUUCAACCUACCUGAUUUAGGUAUCAGAACCAUGUCUGUGUCAUAGAAGGAAUUUGGUAGGACUCCUUCAUUCCCUAUUUUAUCAAAUAAUUUAUAUAGCAUUGGGGCCAAUUGUUCUUUAAAUGUUUGGUAGAAUUCACAUGUAAAUCCAUCUGGUCCUGGAGAUUUUUUCUUAGGGAGUUGUUUAAUUGCCUGUUCUAUUUCUUUUUCUGAAAUGGGACUAUUCAAGCAAUUUACUUCCUCCUCUGUUAGUCUGGGAAGUCUAUAUUUUUGGAGGUAGUCAUCCAUUUCACUUAGGUUAUCAAAUUUAUUGGCAUAAAGUUGAGCAAAAUAAUUCCUUAUUAUUUCUCUAAUUUCCUCUUCAUUGGUGGAAAGUUCUCCCUUUUCAUUUUUAAGACUACUAAUUUCAUUUUCCUCC
Molecule: long non-coding RNA, 6139 nt
Organism: Sarcophilus harrisii (Tasmanian devil)
Lineage: Eukaryota; Metazoa; Chordata; Mammalia; Dasyuromorphia; Dasyuridae
Source: Ensembl